AUUGAACGCUGGCGGCAGGCCUAACACAUGCAAGUCGAGCGGAUGAAGGGAGCUUGCUCCUGGAUUCAGCGGCGGACGGGUGAGUAAUGCCUAGGAAUCUACCUGGUAGUGGGGGAUAACGUCCGGAAACGGGCGCUAAUACCGCAUACGUCCUGAGGGAGAAAGUGGGGGAUCUUCGGACCUCACGCUAUCAGAUGAGCCUAGGUCGGAUUAGCUAGUUGGUGGGGUAAAGGCCUACCAAGGCGACGAUCCAUAACUGGUCUGAGAGGAUGAUCAGUCACACUGGAACUGAGACACGGUCCAGACUCCUACGGGAGGCAGCAGUGGGGAAUAUUGGACAAUGGGCGAAAGCCUGAUCCAGCCAUGCCGCGUGUGUGAAGAAGGUCUUCGGAUUGUAAAGCACUUUAAGUUGGGAGGAAGGGCAGUAAGUUAAUACCUUGCUGUUUUGACGUUACCAACAGAAUAAGCACCGGCUAACUUCGUG
Molecule: ribosomal RNA, 484 nt
Filed under: uncultured bacterium
Lineage: Bacteria
Description: partial 16S ribosomal RNA
Rfam family: Bacterial small subunit ribosomal RNA
Source: RNAcentral